RNAcentral lists this ribosomal RNA (512 nucleotides) under uncultured bacterium. RNAcentral's name for it is "bacterial SSU rRNA". It matches the Rfam family "Bacterial small subunit ribosomal RNA", at positions 28 to 531 of the family's 1533-position model. The record is from RNAcentral.
GACGAACGCUGGCGGCGUGGAUUAGGCAUGCAAGUCGAACGGUAUCAUCCUUUCGGGGGUGAGAGAGUGGCGAACUGGUGAGUAACACGUAGGUUAUCUACCCUCAAGACGGGGACAACCCAGGGAAACUUGGGCUAAUACCGGAUGUGAGCAACUUUUAGUUGUUUGAAAGGUGGCGUAAGCUGUCGCUUGGGGAUGAGCCUGCGUCCUAUUAGUUAGUUGGUGAGGUAACGGCUCACCUAGGCAAUGAUAGGUAGGCGGCCUUAACGGGUGGUCGCCCACACUGGUACUGAGACACGGACCAGACUCCUACGGGAGCAGCAGUGAGGAAUAUUGGUCAAUGGGGCGAGAGCCUGAACCAGCCAAGUCGCGUGAAGGAAGAAGGUCUUAUGGAUUGUAAACUUCUUUAGCAGGGGAAUAAAGGUUAUUACGAGCUAAUAAUUUUGCAGGUACUCUGCGAAAAAGGAUCGGCUAAACUCCGUGCCAAGCAAGCCGCGGUAAUAUCACGUGUA